AGGUUAUUGAAUGAAAAAAUUGGGUGUGCUGUCUGGUAAAUUCACGGGUUACACGUCUAAGACUUUGCUUCUUAAUUGAGUUUUACUUUCCCAUGCCUGGUUAAGUCUGAGCUUGUUCAUUGCAUUACGUGCACGUGACCGCUGACUUGUCAUGAAGAGAGUCCGCUAUUUGCAAGACAAUUGAGGUGAAAAGAGGAAACUUGAAAAGGAAAUGCUGAUUAGUGACAUCUUAUUUCGGGCUUCCAUGUAAUUGAGACAGCUUUUGUGAAUAGUUUUUUGUUGGGUUCCUUGUUCAGUUUGAGCUGUUAAUGGUGUUGUCUGGUGUGCAGUGGUUUUGCAGUUAUUCAGUCGAGAGAUGGCCUGAAAUGGGUGAUCAACUGCCGAGACUUCCCUUACUUCAUGGUCUUUUUCUAUGGAGAUGCUGUCCUAGAAGGUUUAGCUUGGCCAUUGCAGGCAACUUUCUCUCUUGACAUUAUUAGUCUUCAAAAUGUGGUUUAAUUUCUACGGUCAUGAGGUCUGCCGUACAUUUUAUCCAAAAUGUCGUCUCUUGGUUCAUGUAGCACGUUUCGUCACAUUCGGAAAAUUUCAUGACUUGUUUGAAGUAAAUUGAGUUAUUAGUUUUCAAGUAACAGCCUGGUGAAGUCAAGCUUUUUCAUUGCGUUACGUGUACGCGAUCGCUGCCGUUUAAUGAAGGUUCUCUAAGAGGGUCUCUACCACAUUGCAAGACAACAUUGUGAUGGAAAUAGGAAAUCUGACAUAAUAACAAUUUUUCCAUGUUCAGUUUGAUGUUCGAGCUUUUUGUUGUGGCGGUUACGUGCGCAGUGAUUUUCCAGGAGAGGUGUUAAAAAGGUGCUUGUGCAGACUUGCAUUAGUCAUGUUGGCUUUAGAGUUUUUCCAGGGACAAAGCACCUGAUGUUGGCAACAUGGCAAUCAUAUGCCACUGAGCCUGACUUAAUGUUCUCUGGACACUGUCAGUUAAAUUGUUCGUGACCAAUGCGGAACUCCAACAUUCUUCUUCACAAAUAUCUCAUAAAGGAUUAGUGGCUUGGUGAGGUUGAGCUUUAUCAUGGCAGUUGAAUGUCCAUAUGGACUUGUUGCAGAUAGCUGGUGAAGGGUGUGGUGAGCUGGUGCGUGACGACCAUGGGCUGGUGCGGGAAAGUGCUGCACGCUGUCUGCGGCUUCCAUCGUCAGAUGUAUGAGCUAAUUAUGUUGUUGCUCUUUGGUAUGCAGUUCAUGUUCAGCCAGCUGGUGAAAGGGAGUCCAAGUCGAGUUGAGCUGCAGCUUUUGAAGCAGUUAACAAUGCUCGUGUUAUUCCAAAAUGUAACAUCAAUGAAGACAUCUUGAAAUGGUCUUGGUGACGAUGCAAUCAUCCAUCUUCUGCAUGGAUUUUAUGUUAUCAAGAAGUGGAGAAGUAAGACUUGAAGCAAAGCUGCAAGAAAAGAAAUGGUAUUGACGUUAAUGUGCAGUGGUUUUGCAGUCCGACUCCUUUUCAAGCUGUUGCUUUCCUGAAUUUUGCCGGAGUCUUUGAAGUAGCUGAUCCUGUCAUCCUGAAGUUAUGAUGCCGGGGUUAUCCUGGAGUAGCUGUUGUUGGUGUCUGAAGUUACUGUGGCAGUUCAAUUCGGGUUGA
Molecule: long non-coding RNA, 1627 nt
Filed under: Daphnia pulex (common water flea)
Lineage: Eukaryota; Metazoa; Arthropoda; Branchiopoda; Diplostraca; Daphniidae
Description: uncharacterized LOC124193835, transcript variant X3
Source: RNAcentral